Molecule: unclassified non-coding RNA, 1385 nt
Filed under: Daphnia pulex (common water flea)
Lineage: Eukaryota; Metazoa; Arthropoda; Branchiopoda; Diplostraca; Daphniidae
Description: nuclear distribution protein nudE-like 1-A, transcript variant X2
Source: RNAcentral
UGCAGCCUUACAGCAGUCUGCGUCCUGUCUUCGACAAGGGAAUACUGUUCUGUGUGAGUUUAGUCCACUAUUGCUGGGGCGUGUUUCGUUCAAUACUCAUUUCACUUAACAAGAUAACUAGAAGGGUGUUUAUGUGUAUUGUGCGAUAAACAAUUUUCUAUCGGCAGUAGUGGCAGUUUCUCUUGUACAGGCUCCAACAACGCACACAAGUUCGGAUUCUGGCAAGCUCCAUAGCCUAGUUUGACGUCAUUGGCCAUCGACUCCUACCCACCACCCGAGAUACACACACACAGCACACAAUCGAUUUUCCUAGAGGUUUACAGACAGCUUUUCUGAGAGCUGGUUCGCGAUGGACCAAGAGAAAGUACCUCACUUCGCAUCCGCACAGGAGGAAGCACGAUAUUGGAGAUUAAAAGCCGAAGAAUUCCAGAGAAUUGGCGAAGAUGCCAGACUAGAGUUGGAAGAAUAUCAGGAAUCGAGUAGAGAACUAGAAGCCGAGUUGGAGACUCAAAUCAAACAAGCCGAACACCAAGUCCGUGAAUUACGAUCCAACAAUCACCGGUUAUUAAUUGAACACAAUUCAUUGAAAGAAAAAUUCGAAGCACUCAGUCGAGAGCACCACACUCGAGUGAACGAGCUGGAAACGCAUGUGCAUCAACUACGAGCCAAAAACGAAGAUACAACCAAGCGAAUCAGACAGCUAGAGCAAACCAACGAUGAUCUAGAACGAGCGAAUCGAGCGACGCUGGGAUCGUUAGAAGAUUUCGAGACGCGGCUGCACACGGCCAUCGAGCGCAACGCAUUCCUCGAGUCCGAACUAGACGAUAAAGAGUCGCUGGCCGUUAUGGUCCAACGGUUAAAAGACGAAACCAAAGAUUUGAAGCAAGAACUUCAGGUUCGGCAGAAGGCCAUUCACGAGACACCGGACAACGAAAAGCAAGAGAAAGCCGUUGUAGACGAAAACGAAAAAUCGGAUCCGACGAAAUCGCCGCUGGCCUACCCUGCGAGCAAUAACAACAACAAACUGCCCUCCAGCGUGCCCCUCAAACCAUUGGCAGUGACCGACACGGGAAUCACUCAGGCAGCCCGGCAUUCCGCCUUGAACAUUGUUGGAGAUUUGCUUCGACGAGUUGGGUGUUUAAGGCAGCAGCUCAGCAACGUCCAAAAUCCAACACCUGGAGUUUACUACCCACUCUUUCCCAGGCGUUAGAGAACAAAUUAUCAACGUGCCGGACUAUGGUGAAGGAGGGCAACGGGACGGUCAAGGAAGCUACUAGGGGGAAAUUGUUGAGUCGUGCAACUUCGACGGCAGCGCCGGUGCAGAGUAUCAUUCGAGCUUAACUAGUUCCAAUUAUUGACGAAAAUUUACAUCAACCGAAGCAAAA